Mytilus californianus (California mussel) is the source of this 650-nucleotide long non-coding RNA. RefSeq lists it as uncharacterized. The transcript has 2 exons. The record is from RefSeq and is a predicted model, not a curated record. NCBI's taxonomy places the organism in Eukaryota, Metazoa, Mollusca, Bivalvia, Mytilida, Mytilidae.
AUAUUCAUGUAUGUUGUUUUUAAUAAUAAAAAAUUCCCAAGGCAUAUAAGUAUAACAGGAAUUGAUUGUCUUCUUGCACACAUGUAAUACAUGUAGGCGUAGGAAUUUUAGCACCAAAAAUUAGGUUGUAAAGUGAACUGAAAUUUGUACUGUGAACAUUGUAUUUUUUUUAAGGAUCUUUAAGAGAACAAAGAUUUGCAUAAUUUUGUAUUUUUUAAAUUAAUUUUCAUGUAGGUGGAAUGGCUAUACAAACGUAAUCGUAUUUCGACUUUUGUACCAAAUUUUUUAUAGCCGUAGUCCUAAUGACAAGAUUUCUUUUUACUUACAUAUAUUCAAACAAAAUUUCUUUUUACUUACAUAUAUUCAAACAAAAUUAUGUUUUCUUUUACUCAUUUCCUGGAGUGAGGUCCUACACUUAGAGUUUCGCUGGCAUUGACAAAAGGACACAGGUUUCCUAAAAUGGGUUUUUCCUGGUUGGCCACGGAACAUUGAAAUGUAGUUAUUCAGUUUUUCAAAUGCAAAAGGUUGACAUGAGAUUAUUUUUCUAGUAUAAGUUAUUGAAUUCAUAUUGUAUAAUGUAUAGUGUGUAAUUUGUCUUAUUAAAUCGGCAGCUCACAAUAUGCAGUACUCGAGCUAGUCAAAAAACAUAA